GCCGUUUUAGCUCAUAUUGGUCAGAGCAGCUGCCUCGUAAGCAGCAGGCCGCCGGUUCGAUUCCGGCAAACGGCACCA
RNAcentral lists this transfer RNA (78 nucleotides) under Caudoviricetes sp. RNAcentral's name for it is "tRNA-Thr". It matches the Rfam family "tRNA". Rfam says of the family: Transfer RNA (tRNA) molecules are approximately 80 nucleotides in length. Their secondary structure includes four short double-helical elements and three loops (D, anti-codon, and T loops). Further hydrogen bonds mediate the characteristic L-shaped molecular structure. tRNAs have two regions of fundamental functional importance: the anti-codon, which is responsible for specific mRNA codon recognition, and the 3' end, to which the tRNAs corresponding amino acid is attached (by aminoacyl-tRNA synthetases). tRNAs cope with the degeneracy of the genetic code in two manners: having more than one tRNA (with a specific anti-codon) for a particular amino acid; and 'wobble' base-pairing, i.e. permitting non-standard base-pairing at the 3rd anti-codon position. Lineage: Duplodnaviria; Heunggongvirae; Uroviricota; Caudoviricetes. The record is from RNAcentral.